UACGUAGGGUCCAAGCGUUGUCCGGAAUCAUUGGGCGUAAAGAGCGUGUAGGCGGCCCGGUAAGUCCGCUGUGAAAGUCGGGGGCUCAACCCUCGAAUGCCGGUGGAUACUGUCGGGCUAGAGUGCGGAAGAGGCGAGUGGAAUUCCUGGUGUAGCGGUGAAAUGCGCAGAUAUCAGGAAGAACACCCGUGGCGAAGGCGGCUCUCUGGGACGGUACUGACGCUGAGACGCGAAAGCGUGGGGAGCGAACAGG
This 253-nucleotide ribosomal RNA is filed under the name uncultured bacterium. RNAcentral describes it as "partial 16S ribosomal RNA". It matches the Rfam family "Bacterial small subunit ribosomal RNA", at positions 524 to 776 of the family's 1533-position model. The record is from RNAcentral.